CACCGCGGUUAUACGAGAGACCCAAGUCGAUGGCCUUCGGCGUAAAGCGUGGUUAGGAGACAACUAAAACUAAAGAUGAACGGUUUUAUAGCUGUUAUACGCUCAUAAAAAUCUGAAAAUCAACUACGAAAGUGACUUUAAAACCCUGAUCCCACGAAAGCUAUGGCA
This 168-nucleotide ribosomal RNA is filed under the name Halichoeres argus (argus wrasse). Its description in RNAcentral is "partial small subunit ribosomal RNA". Lineage: Eukaryota; Metazoa; Chordata; Actinopteri; Labriformes; Labridae. The record is from RNAcentral.